RNAcentral lists this long non-coding RNA (521 nucleotides) under Felis catus (domestic cat). RNAcentral's name for it is "lncRNA (ENSFCAG00000045273.2)". The record is from RNAcentral. Lineage: Eukaryota; Metazoa; Chordata; Mammalia; Carnivora; Felidae.
AUGGAUGAGGAAUAUUGCUAUAUAAACCACAGCAACAUUGUGUUUUUGAGAUGUAUCAGGAUGAUACUACAUAUCGAUUGGGGAGACUGGACAAAGACUCACAACAGUCUGCGGAUCACAAGACCCACCUGUGAAGCAGAGGCUCUCUGGUUUGAUUGCAUAAUGGAAAAGACACAGUUUUACAAGCUGAAACCAAAUCACGAGGAUAGAGAUAGCUUGCAAAAUUGCAGGGAGGGAAAGUGGUGGGGUAGGGAAGGAGACCCUAGGGAGAAUGGGGACAAACAGAUGACCUGAAGUAGAGGAUAAGAUGAGGAGGCUUCCAAACUGUGUCAAGGGCACCAAAAUGGGGGGGAAGCAGGAGGGAAUGCAAAUUGUCAACUAUUCCACAAUUUAAUGAACAGUGUACUAAUAUGUGUACUAUUUCUACUCUGUCACCAACUGAAUUCAAGGCCAAGGUCUCAGAGACAGAAUGCUGGAAUAUAAUUCUAGAACUGUGCCAAUAAACAAUAAAUCAAAGUCCA